This is a long non-coding RNA of Chenopodium quinoa (quinoa), 1937 nucleotides long. RefSeq lists it as uncharacterized. The transcript is spliced from 2 exons. Lineage: Eukaryota; Viridiplantae; Streptophyta; Magnoliopsida; Caryophyllales; Amaranthaceae. The record is from RefSeq and is a predicted model, not a curated record.
CAAAUCCAUGUAUAGGUAACACUGUUACGGGUUCAUUGAGUUUCUUCUAGCUUUUCAUUCGCAAAAUGCCAGAUUGUGUGGUUGAAAAAAAUGUUUGUGGCUGGAUGAAAGUGUAUAAUUAUAAAAAAUGCUAUGCAUAAGCCUAUAUAAAUAGAUAAAAAUGAAAAAAACAAAUAAAAAUAACUUAUCAAUAAGCAAAGCCUAGUCCUAUAAGUUAAAUCAAAAUCACCAACUACCUUGUAAUAAAUACAAACGUCCAAUAAACCACGUUAAGGCCAAAAAAUCUAAUUUCACUAACGGAGUCAGUAAGGUAUAUCAACAGUGAUAAAAGAGUUAAGAUACAGGCCAGGUGUAUGUCUUUAAUGAGUUUAAUCUGACUCAUGUACAAUAAAAAAGACGAGCUAGCAAAAUUAAUCGACAAAGUUUGUUAAUUACUCCGUAUAAAGAUGGGCAAAGACCCGCGCCCAAUUUAUCUAUUGGACGGAUCCGACGUAUUUAUAACAGGGGUAGUCAUGGCUUUUGAUGGGUCUCCAACCCAUUUAACUGCUCUAAUUACCAACAACAAAAACAAUCCUCCUCUCUCUCAAGCACACUUCAUUGAGGCGCCUCUUAACACUUGUAUCCGCCAUUGAAAUCAGCUUCUGAGAAAACUCAAAAUGCAAAUUAAUGGCUUAUGCCUAGCACUAUGGGUUGUUGGAUUUCUACUAAUGACAUUCAACUCCUCUAGUGGUAUAGUUAAUCGAUCUAUACUAGUUUCUGGUAACUAAUUGCUACUCCCUUUGUCCCAUUAUUAAAUGUCUGUUUUUCUAAUUGGAUAUCUCAAAUUUAAAUAUCUAUUUUUAUUUUUGUUUCAUAUACAAUUACCUACAAUACCCCCACUUUAUAUCUUUUAACAUACUUCGUAUUAUAUUUCCCUAAAUGCCCUUUUAAAUUGAUGCAUGCCCACAUAUACUUCACACAUGUAAUUCAUUUGAUUAUCAUUGAAUUUCAGCACUUGUUUGUGUCAUAGUCCUCAUAGACAUUGAUAAGAAUGGUCCUAUGCCUUUCUUAAUCAAUUUGCAUGUUAUAAAUGGCUAUCUCGUGGAUGUAGUAAGUAGUCGGUUCUCAAGGCAUCAUAAAUUGUAGUUCGUUUGAAUAAGUUUGUGUUUUGAUACUUAAGUUCUAUUUAACUUCAACUCUACAAUAUAUCUUAAAUACAUGUGCUGGAUACUAAACAAUCCUUACAAGAAUAUGUUAUUCGGAUACAAAUAUACAAAAGUAUAAGAAAAGGGGUGAACUGUAGUAUGGAGCUUGUUUGCAGAAUUGAAAGGAACAUAAUGUUGGGUAGAAAAAUAAUACAAGAGAAACUUCACUAGGAAAAUAUCCUAAGCUUGAUAGCUAAUGGAGCUCAAACUUUCCGCUAUAAUGGACCGACAACUCCCUCACACCUUUAAGUAGAUAUCUGAAGGUAACAAUUUCUUUGGUAUACCAGCGUUGUUACGUUACCUGUGUUUCUGACUGGUUGAGCAGCCAUUUCUUGCUCUUUUCAGUUUAACAUAAGUAUUUCAACUUUGCUCAGGGAAAUUCAAAUGGUGAUGUGAGCUUGGAAGACUAUGGCCCUGUUGAUCCGAGCCCAAGUCAGGCUUCUAUAGAUCAUGGACCUAUUGAGCAUGGCUCUCCUUCACAUCCUUACAUUCCAAAACCAAAGCCUCCACCACCGGCUCCUAUUCCCUCUGGACCAUGAUGGAUCGCCACAACCUUUGAAAGUCGUCAGCAGUCAGCUUAACUGUAUUCUUUUCAGUUUCCACGGAUGCCCAAUGUAUAUCUCCUUCAAGUGUAACAUCUACUAGUACUAGUAUUUCAGAAACAAUAUGAAAAUAUUUUCUGUAAUAACCCUAUGAAUGGUAGAUCAGGUGAUCUAAUUUUCUUAUGAUCAAAACUAUUAUUACUUGACUCAU